Molecule: ribosomal RNA, 305 nt
Filed under: uncultured bacterium
Lineage: Bacteria
Description: bacterial SSU rRNA
Rfam family: Bacterial small subunit ribosomal RNA
Source: RNAcentral
UGAGGCCUACGGGGGGCAGCAGUGAGGAAUAUUGGUCAAUGGUCGGGAGACUGAACCAGCCAAGCCGCGUGAGGGAUGAAGGUACAGAGUAUCGUAAACCUCUUUUGUCAGGGAACAAAGGCGGGGACGCGUCCCCGGAUGAGUGUACCUGAAGAAAAAGCAUCGGCUAACUCCGUGCCAGCAGCCGCGGUAAUACGGAGGAUGCGAGCGUUAUCCGGAUUUACUGGGUGUAAAGGGAGCGUAGACGGCAUUGCAAGUCUGAUGUGAAAGAUUGGGGCUCAACCCCAGGCCUGCAUUGGAAACUG